UGAUAGCCCAGAUGGUAACGAAAACCCCGGAGUUAUUCCAGUUUGUUUUUCUUGGUAUAAAAGAGCGACUGAAAGAAGCUCCUUUUAUUCCUUAGAAAAACUGCUGGAAUAAUGAGGAGUUGUAGUGUACAGCUGGAUUAGCU
This 143-nucleotide small RNA is filed under the name Flavobacterium sp. 103. RNAcentral's name for it is "Flavo-1 RNA". It matches the Rfam family "Flavo-1 RNA". The record is from RNAcentral. Lineage: Bacteria; Pseudomonadati; Bacteroidota; Flavobacteriia; Flavobacteriales; Flavobacteriaceae.